AGUAAACGCUGGCGGCAGGCCUAAAACAUGCAAGUCGAACGGGUGUAGCAAUACAUCAGUGGCGCACGGGUGAGUAACGCGUGGGAACGUGCCCUUCAGUACGGGACAACGUCGGGAAACUGACGCUAAUACCGUAUAAUAUCUCGGGAUCAAAGAUUUAUCGCUGAGGGAGCGGCCGGCGUCGGAUUAGCUAGUUGGUGGGGUAAUGGCCUACCAAGGCUACGAGCAGUAGCUGGUCUGAGAGGAUGAUCAGCCACACUGGGACGGGGACACGGCCCAGACUCCUACGGGAGGCAGCAGUGAGGAAUAUUGGACAAUGGGCGAAAGCCUGAGCCAGCCAUGCCGCGUGUGUGAUGAAGGCCCUAGGGUUGUAAAGCACUUUCGUUGGGGAUGAUAAUGACCGUACCCAAAGAAGAAGCCACGGCUAAAUUCGUGCCAGCAGCCGCCGUAA
This 451-nucleotide ribosomal RNA is filed under the name uncultured bacterium. RNAcentral's name for it is "partial 16S ribosomal RNA". It matches the Rfam family "Bacterial small subunit ribosomal RNA", at positions 29 to 523 of the family's 1533-position model. The record is from RNAcentral.